Molecule: small RNA, 71 nt
Filed under: Neotamlana nanhaiensis
Lineage: Bacteria; Pseudomonadati; Bacteroidota; Flavobacteriia; Flavobacteriales; Flavobacteriaceae
Description: Tamlana nanhaiensis Flavo-1 RNA
Rfam family: Flavo-1 RNA
Source: Rfam by way of RNAcentral
GACUGCCCGCGUAAGCGAUUGAAGUGGCAUCCUUUUGCUUGCAAAAGAUAUAACGUAAAGCGCGACCACGC